This 254-nucleotide ribosomal RNA is filed under the name uncultured bacterium. Its description in RNAcentral is "partial 16S ribosomal RNA". It matches the Rfam family "Bacterial small subunit ribosomal RNA", at positions 524 to 776 of the family's 1533-position model. The record is from RNAcentral.
UACAGAGGUCUCAAGCGUUGUUCGGAUUCAUUGGGCGUAAAGGGUGCGUAGGUGGCGCCGUAAGUCGGGUGUGAAAUUUCGGAGCUUAACUCCGAAACUGCAUUCGAUACUGCGGUGCUUGAGGACUGGAGAGGAGACUGGAAUUCCAGGUGUAGCGGUGAAAUGCGUAGAUAUCUGGAGGAAUACCGGUGGCGAAGGCGGCAUCCUGGACCAACACUGACGCUGAGUGAGCGAAAGCCAGGGGAGCAAACGGG